RNAcentral lists this ribosomal RNA (253 nucleotides) under uncultured bacterium. RNAcentral's name for it is "partial 16S ribosomal RNA". It matches the Rfam family "Bacterial small subunit ribosomal RNA", at positions 524 to 776 of the family's 1533-position model. The record is from RNAcentral.
UACGAAGGGGGCUAGCGUUGUUCGGAAUUACUGGGCGUAAGGCGUAUGCAGGCGGAUCGUUAAGUCGGGGGUGAAAUCCCGAGGCUCAACCUCGGAACUGCCUUCGAUACUGGCGAUCUUGAGUCCGGGAGAGGUGAGUGGAACUCCGAGUGUAGAGGUGAAAUUCGUAGAUAUUCGGAAGAACACCAGUGGCGAAGGCGGCUCACUGGCCCGGUACUGACGCUGAGAUACGAAAGCGUGGGGAGCAAACAGG